UGUGCAUAAGAGACACUGGUGUCACAUCUGUCAGGCAAUGUUGAUAAUCUUAUUAAAAGUGAUGUUUCCACUGUGCUUAAUGUUUUUCUUCUUCUUUCUGUCCCUUGGCAGUUCCUUGAAGGCUUUGAUA
Molecule: long non-coding RNA, 130 nt
Organism: Prionailurus viverrinus (fishing cat)
Lineage: Eukaryota; Metazoa; Chordata; Mammalia; Carnivora; Felidae
Exons: 3
Source: RefSeq, a predicted model, not a curated record